RNAcentral lists this ribosomal RNA (253 nucleotides) under uncultured bacterium. RNAcentral describes it as "partial 16S ribosomal RNA". It matches the Rfam family "Bacterial small subunit ribosomal RNA", at positions 524 to 776 of the family's 1533-position model. The record is from RNAcentral.
UACAGAGGUCUCAAGCGUUGUUCGGAUUCAUUGGGCGUAAAGGGUGCGUAGGCGGCGCGGUAAGUCGGGUGUGAAAUCUCGGAGCUUAACUCCGAAACUGCAUUCGAUACUGCCGUGCUUGAGUACAGAAGAGGAAAGCGGAAUUCCACGUGUAGCGGUGAAAUGCGUAGAGAUGUGGAGGAACACCAGUGGCGAAGGCGGCUUUCUGGUCUGUAACUGACGCUGAGGCGCGAAAGCGUGGGGAGCAAACAGG